Molecule: ribosomal RNA, 449 nt
Filed under: uncultured prokaryote
Description: bacterial SSU rRNA
Rfam family: Bacterial small subunit ribosomal RNA
Source: RNAcentral
UGGGGAAUAUUGCACAAUGGGCGCAAGCCUGAUGCAGCCAUGCCGCGUGUAUGAAGAAGGCCUUCGGGUUGUAAAGUACUUUCAGCAGUGAGGAAGGGGUGUACGUUAAUAGCGUGCGCUCUUGACGUUAGCUGCAGAAGAAGCACCGGCUAACUCCGUGCCAGCAGCCGCGGUAAUACGGAGGGUGCGAGCGUUAAUCGGAAUUACUGGGCGUAAAGCGCAUGCAGGUGGUUUGUUAAGUCAGAUGUGAAAGCCCGAGGCUCAACCUCGGAACUGCAUUUGAAACUGGCAGGCUAGAGUACUGUAGAGGGGGGUAGAAUUUCAGGUGUAGCGGUGAAAUGCGUAGAGAUCUGAAGGAAUACCGGUGGCGAAGGCGGCCCCCUGGACAGAUACUGACACUCAGAUGCGAAAGCGUGGGGAGCAAACAGGAUUAGAUACCCCCGUAGUCC